CUCUGGGCUCUGAAGGCUGGAUCCUGUACAGGGAGAGGAAAGAGCUGUGUGUGUAUUACUGAGAGGCAGCAUGGCCAUGUACAAUUGUGCAUCAUAAACAAAUCCCGUCCCAUAAGGAGAAAAGCCGUGAACUGGCAGGAUCUGUCAGCAGAUCAGUUGCAGGACGUCAGGGCCCCAACACCAACUGGAAGUACUCUGGCUCCAGCUUCUGCCCAGACCACCCCUUUUUGGUUUGAUUAUCCGGAUGACAACUCGGAUAAGGUGGCUUCUGUGUAUCAGGCUAUUGGUGAGAUACCCAAGAUCUUCACCACAGAUAAAUUUCCCAAAAUUUUGCUGUGGAUCACCUUUGGAGGACUUGGAGUUUUCGGUUUUGUUGUUGUGUCACAGAUAUUAC
Bombina bombina (fire-bellied toad) is the source of this 394-nucleotide long non-coding RNA. RefSeq lists it as uncharacterized. The transcript has 4 exons. The record is from RefSeq and is a predicted model, not a curated record. Lineage: Eukaryota; Metazoa; Chordata; Amphibia; Anura; Bombinatoridae.